RNAcentral lists this ribosomal RNA (301 nucleotides) under uncultured bacterium. RNAcentral describes it as "partial 16S ribosomal RNA". It matches the Rfam family "Bacterial small subunit ribosomal RNA", at positions 509 to 807 of the family's 1533-position model. The record is from RNAcentral.
CAGUAGCCGCGGGAAUACGAAGGGUGCAAGCGUUACUCGGAAUUACUGGGCGUAAAGCGUGCGUAGGUGGUGGUUUAAGUCCGUUGUGAAAGCCCUGGGCUCAACCUGGGAAUUGCAGUGGAUACUGGGUCACUAGAGUGUGGUAGAGGAUAGUGGAAUUUCCGGUGUAGCAGUAAAAUGCGUAGAGAUCGGAAGGAACAUCUGUGGCGAAGGCGACUAUCUGGGCCAACACUGACACUGAGGCACGAAAGCGUGGGGAGCAAACAGGAUUAGAUACCCCUGUAGUCCCUGUCUCUUAUAC